Molecule: long non-coding RNA, 1513 nt
Organism: Lethenteron reissneri (Far Eastern brook lamprey)
Lineage: Eukaryota; Metazoa; Chordata; Hyperoartia; Petromyzontiformes; Petromyzontidae
Source: RefSeq, a predicted model, not a curated record
UUUCUCUCUCUGUUUCUCUGUCUGUGUCUGUCUCACUGUGUCUCUCUGUCUGUGUCUCCCUGUCUCUCUCUGUCUCUCUGUUUGUAUCUGUCUCACUGUGUCUCUCUGUUUCCCCGCGUCUCACCAUAUCUCCCCGCGUGUGUCCCCAAUCCCGUAGCCACCACCGCCACCACCACCACCGCUGCCGCCACCACCACCACCACCACCGCGGUGUCUACGGGAGACGAGGCGACGCUCCCCGCCGGUGGCGGCAGCGCCUCCAUCAGCUUCAUGGCGGCCAUAGCGGUGCUGGCGAUCCUCCCCUUCGUGGUGUGCACCGCGUGGGGCACACGGAGCGCCGGCAAACGUGGCGCGGACGAGCAAGGAGGGAGCUCCCCGAGCCUGGUGCCCGAGAGAGAUGCCGUCUCUGCCGAGUGCAGCGACGAGGAGGCCGCCACGGCGCGGAUGACGGAGCGGCACGCGGAGACGGAGGUGUAAGAGGAGAAGAGGUGGAGGAUGAGGUGUCAAGAGUCGGAGUCGGAAGUUUGUGUGUUUGUGGGCAAGGCGGCCACUGUAGUAGUACCGUCCUUGUUGCUGUUGUUAUAUUGAUGGUGAAAAGUUAUUUCUCACCCACCCCCCUCACCCCGACUUUAUAUUGAAGCUUUUAGUUGUGUGAUGUCCGGUACUCACACAGAGACCCAAAGACUCGCCACACAGAGACCCACAGACUCACCACACAGAGACCCAAAGACUCGCACAGAGACCCACAGACUCACCACACAGACACCCAUAGACUCACCACAAAUAGACCCACAGACUCAUCACACAGAGAGCCACACAGAGGACCCACAGACUCACCACACAGACACCCAUAGACUCACCACACAGAGACCCACAGACUCACCACACAGAGAACCACAGACUUAUCACACAGAGACCCACACAGAGAUCCACAGACUCACCACACAGAGACCCACAGACUCACCACACAGCGACCCACAGACUCACCACUCAGAGACCCGUAGACUCACCACACAGAGACCCUUAGACUCACACACAGAGACCCAUAGACUCACCACACAGAGACCCAUAGACCCACCACACAGAGACCCACAGACUCAUCACACAGAGACCCAUAGACUCACUCACACAGAGACCCAUAGACUCACUCACACAGAGACCCAUAGACUCACUCACACAGAGACCCAUAGACUCACUCACACAGAGACCCAUAGACUCACUCACACAGACCUAUAGACUCACUCACACAGAGACCCACAGACUCACCACUCAGAGACCCGUAGACUCACCACACAGAGACCCACAGACUCACCACACAGAGACCCACAGACUCACCACACAGAGACCCAUAGACUCACCACUCAGAGACCCACAGACUCACCACUCAGAGACCCACAGACUCACCACACAGAGACCCACAGACUCACCACACAGAGACCCACAGACUCACCACUCAGAGACCCACAGACUCACCACUCAGAGACCCACAGACUCACCACACAGAGACCCACAG